CCGAGUGAGGGGCCCCGCCCCGACCUCCAACCCUUUGUGAACCCACACCUGUUGCUUCGGGGGCGACCCUGCCGUCUCGGCGCGGCGCCCCCGGAGGCCAUCAAACACUGCAUCAUUUGUCGUCGGAUUUACAAGUUAAUAAACA
This 145-nucleotide unclassified non-coding RNA is filed under the name uncultured Ascomycota. Its description in RNAcentral is "sequence contains ITS1". Lineage: Eukaryota; Fungi; Ascomycota. The record is from RNAcentral.